RNAcentral lists this ribosomal RNA (926 nucleotides) under uncultured bacterium. Its description in RNAcentral is "bacterial SSU rRNA". It matches the Rfam family "Bacterial small subunit ribosomal RNA", at positions 579 to 1500 of the family's 1533-position model. The record is from RNAcentral.
UUUGUCGCGUCUGUCGUGAAAGUCCGGGGCUUAACCCCGGAUCUGCGGUGGGUACGGGCAGACUAGAGUGCAGUAGGAGAGACUGGAAUUCCUGGUGUAGCGGUGGAAUGCGCAGAUAUCAGGAGGAACACCGAUGGCGAAGGCAGGUCUCUGGGCUGUAACUGACGCUGAGGAGCGAAAGCAUGGGGAGCGAACAGGAUUAGAUACCCUGGUAGUCCAUGCCGUAAACGUUGGGCACUAGGUGUGGGGACCAUUCCACGGUUUCCGCGCCGCAGCUAACGCAUUAAGUGCCCCGCCUGGGGAGUACGGCCGCAAGGCUAAAACUCAAAGGAAUUGACGGGGGCCCGCACAAGCGGCGGAGCAUGCGGAUUAAUUCGAUGCAACGCGAAGAACCCUACCAAGGCUUGACAUGUUCUCGAUCGCCGUAGAGAUACGGUUUCCCCUUUGGGGCGGGUUCACAGGUGGUGCAUGGUUGUCGUCAGCUCGUGUCGUGAGAUGUUGGGUUAAGUCCCGCAACGAGCGCAACCCUCGUUCCAUGUUGCCAGCACGUCGUGGUGGGGACUCAUGGGAGACUGCCGGGGUCAACUCGGAGGAAGGUGAGGACGACGUCAAAUCAUCAUGCCCCUUAUGUCUUGGGCUUCACGCAUGCUACAAUGGCCGGUACAAUGGGUUGCGAUACUGUGAGGUGGAGCUAAUCCCAAAAAGCCGGUCUCAGUUCGGAUUGGGGUCUGCAACUCGACCCCAUGAAGUCGGAGUCGCUAGUAAUCGCAGAUCAGCAACGCUGCGGUGAAUACGUUCCCGGGCCUUGUACACAUCGCCCGUCAAGUCACGAAAGUUGGUAACACCCGAAGCCGGUGGCCUAACCCUUGUGGGGGGAGCCGUCGAAGGUGGGACCAGCGAUUGGGACUAAGUCGUAACAAGGUAAC